UGCCCAAGAGAAAAUUCGCCUAACUUAACCUUCAUAUUUCCAAAAUUUGUUUAGCUAUUUUUAGGGAUUUUCCUCCAACUGAAAAUUUUACGAACAUGAAGAAAAAGGUUAAUGGAAGAAACAAAUCAGAGGACAGAGUUUGUGGAAAAUGGAGCAAGGAUAAUGAGAACAGAAGGAGAUUGAACCAGAGAGGGUGCCAUGGACAAUCCAUCCACUCAUUCUUUCUUUUUUUCUUUCUUCAACAAAUAUUUAUUGAGCCUCUAUUAAGCGCCAGGUAUUCUUCUAGGACUGGGAUAUGGCAGGGAACAAGAUGAAGCAUUUUCUUCCGUGGGGUUUAUAGUCUAGCGCAGGGGUUGCCCAACUUUUCCAUAAAGGUCCGGACAAUAAAUAUUUUAGGCUUUAUGGGCCACACAGCCUCUGUGACAACUACUUAACUCUGCCAUCAUAGGUGCCAAAGCUGUCAUAGAAAGACAAACAAAUGACCAUGGUUGUGUUCCAAUAAAAUUUUAUUUAUUAAAACAGAUGGCAAGACAAUUUGUCCUUUAAGCCAUGGCUUGCCAACCUCUGUUCUAAGUGGAAGGGGAAAGGAAAUGUCUAAGAUCGUUUCAGGACGUGAUAAUGCCUCGAAGAAAAGUAAAGCUGGUCGAGGCCAUAGAAGGAAAUGAGGUGAGGGAGCCGCUAUUUCAGAAUGUUUGAGGUCUUCCUAAUGAAACGAAGCAAAGGAGCGCGUGAAGUGAGGCUGUCAGAGAGGAUGGGAUCCGGCACACGGUGGAAGGCUUGACUCGAAACAAGAGCCUGGACAAUUACUCUCUUAUAAUAGGAAAGAAGGCAAAAUAUAACAUUACAGAGGCAGGGAGGUUUGUUGUAAGAAACGGAGGACUGAAAAAAUCUAUGAAGAACAAGAUAUAGCCAAUAUGACUCACGGCAGGUGAGAGGACACAGCUGGAGAAGAGCAAGUCCAGGCUUCCGCUUCCCUUGGGUGGCUGACUUCUAGAUCUGCAAUGCUUAAUCAUAAAAAAAAGGAAGCGAUGGUUGAGGACAUUAAAUGAGAAAUGUGUCUUCAAAGUACCUCGCCUGAAGAGCCAAGAUAAUUUACCAAGCCCGGAAAAGGGCAAGAGCACAUCAGGAUCACGAUGGACACAACAGAGCUCAGUCUUGAGAAACAAUCGCAGUCCACGUCACCUCACUCAACUUCUAUUCUGUGGCCAGAACAGCCUUCAUGACGUGAACGUUCACCUGUCUUUCCUCCUGGUUGCACUUUCAUAAUGGACUAUAAGAUGAAUUCUAAACACUUUUGCAAAGAAUAUAAGACUCUUCGGUAUUAGACACCUGCCUCCCCACUCAGAUUGAUCUUCCAAUGCUGUUCCCUUUGUCUGGACUAUCUGAGACUCCCACAAGUCCCACAGCUUCACUUGAAAUGCUCC
Molecule: long non-coding RNA, 1424 nt
Filed under: Equus asinus (donkey)
Lineage: Eukaryota; Metazoa; Chordata; Mammalia; Perissodactyla; Equidae
Description: lncRNA (ENSEASG00005031114.1)
Source: RNAcentral